This 1767-nucleotide ribosomal RNA is filed under the name human gut metagenome. RNAcentral describes it as "bacterial LSU rRNA". It matches the Rfam family "Bacterial large subunit ribosomal RNA", at positions 1157 to 2925 of the family's 2925-position model. The record is from RNAcentral.
ACAUGCGCCGACAAUACACGGGGCUAAGCGUUGUACCGAAGCAGCGGACUGUUUUAUCAGUGGUAGGGGAGCUUUCCAUGCCGGGGCGAAGCCGACGGGCGACCGUCGGUGGACUGCAUGGAAGUGAGAAUGCUGGCAUGAGUAACGAGAGAGGGGCGAGAAACCCCUCCGCCGUAAGCCUAAGGGUUCCUGGGCAAGGCUAAUCCCCCCAGGGUCAGUCGGGAGCUAAGGCGAGGCCGACAGGCGUAGCCGAUGCACAACAGGCGGACAUUCCUGUACCACCGCGGAGCGUUACUACGACGGGGUGACGGAGAAGGGUAGCCGGGCGGGGUUCUGGACGUCCCCGUGAAAGCGCGUAGGCCGCAGGGCAGGCAAAUCCGCCCUGCAGCGAGGCCGAGACGUUAGACGAAGCUUCAUGUGAAGCCGGCGAGCCCAUGCUUUCGAGAAAAACCUCUAAGGAGCGAGGCGGUGCCCGUACCAAAACCGACACAGGUAGGCGGGUAGAGCAUACCAAGGCGAUCGGGAGAACCAUGGUUAAGGAACUCGGCAUACUGACUCCGUAACUUCGGGAGAAGGAGUGCCCCCGCCUGUGAGGUCCCACGCGGACGGAGCGGGAGGGGGUCGCAGCGAAACGGCCCAAGCGACUGUUUACCAAAAACACAGGACUCUGCAAAGCCGCAAGGCGACGUAUAGGGUCUGACGCCUGCCCGGUGCUGGAAGGUUACGCGGAUGAGUUAGCGCAAGCGAAGCCCUGAAGCCAAGCCCCAGUAAACGGCGGCCGUAACUAUAACGGUCCUAAGGUAGCGAAAUUCCUUGUCGGGUAAGUUCCGACCUGCACGAAUGGCGUAACGAUCUCCACACUGUCUCGGCCAGAGACUCGGUGAAAUUGAAGUCGCGGUGAAAAUGCCGUGUACCCGCAGAAAGACGGAAAGACCCUGUGCACCUUUACUAUAGCUUGACAUUGGAUUUUGGGCCUACAUGUGUAGGAUAGGUGGGAGGCUGUGAACCCUGUACGCCAGUAUGGGGGGAGCCAUCCUUGAAAUACCACCCUUGCAUGUUUAAGAUCCUAACUUCUUCCGGUUAUCCCGGAGAAAGACAGUGUCUGGCGGGUAGUUUGACUGGGGCGGUCGCCUCCUAAAGUGUAACGGAGGCAUGCAAAGGUUCCCUCAGCCUGAUCGGAAACCAGGCGCUGAGUGCAAACGCAUAAGGGAGCUUGACUGUAAGAGAGACAUCUCGAACAGGAACGAAAGUUGGCGUUAGUGAUCCGGUGGUCCCGAAUGGAAGGGCCAUCGCUCAUUGGAUAAAAGGUACGCCGGGGAUAACAGGCUGAUCGCAUCCAAGAGUUCACAUCGACGAUGCGGUUUGGCACCUCGAUGUCGGCUCAUCACAUCCUGGGGCUGAAGCAGGUCCCAAGGGUACGGCUGUUCGCCGUUUAAAGUGGUACGCGAGCUGGGUUUAAAACGUCGUGAGACAGUUUGGUCCCUAUCUUCUGUGGGCGAAGGAGAAUUGAGAGGGCCUGUCCCUAGUACGAGAGGACCGGGAUGGACGCACCCCUGGUGAUCCUGUUGUCGCGCCAGCGGCAUAGCAGGGUAGCUAUGUGCGGAAGGGAUAACCGCUGAAAGCAUCUAAGCGGGAAGCCUGCCUCAAGAUAAGUUCUCCCCUCGAAAGAGCUGAAGGGCCCGGGUAGACUACCCGGUCGAUAGGCUGGAGGUGUAAGCGCGGCGACGUGCUCAGCUGACCAGUACUAAUAGCCCGAGCGGCUUAUUU